GUUCUCACUUCUGUAGCAUAUAUGCUAAAAUUGGUAUGAUACAGAGAUCUUAGUACAACCCCUGUGUAAGAAUGACAUGCAAAUUCAUGAAGUGUUCCAUAUUUUU
RNAcentral lists this small nuclear RNA (106 nucleotides) under Sciurus vulgaris (Eurasian red squirrel). The record is from RNAcentral. Lineage: Eukaryota; Metazoa; Chordata; Mammalia; Rodentia; Sciuridae.